Mus musculus (house mouse) is the source of this 5475-nucleotide long non-coding RNA. RefSeq annotates it as predicted gene, 53810. The record is from RefSeq and is a predicted model, not a curated record. The transcript is spliced from 2 exons. Lineage: Eukaryota; Metazoa; Chordata; Mammalia; Rodentia; Muridae.
AUGGUUGGUUUCUUUUGAGGUAAAAACUCAUGUAAGGUUGGCCUCAAACUUGCUGUGCAGCUGAGGUGUGCUUUGAACUCCUGAUCCUCAUGCCUCCAAGCCAGAUACUUAAAUUGUGACUGGCAUGCAUGGUAUAUAUCUGUAAAAUUCCAGCACCUGAGAGAAAGCUGAGGCAAAAAGGUUGCCAUGAGUACAAGACUAGUCCGAAACAAAAGGGAAAAAAGCAGAACAGGGGAAUGGCACAGGCCUUUAGUUUCAGUACUCAGGAAGCUGAGGCAGGCAGGUCUCUAUGAAUUUGAGACCAGCCUGGUCUGUAUAACAAGUUCUAGGGCAACCAGGGAUACAGAAUGAGACCCUGUCUCGAGGGAAAAAAAGCAAGAAAUUCUUUAAUUCAGCUUGGGUGUACAAGCCUGUAACCCCACCACUCGGGAGAACUAGAGUUCAAGGCUAGCCUUGACUACAUAGUUUGUAACCAGCCUGUGCAGCAAUCAGACCUUGACUAGAAAAUUUUAAACUAGACACUUAUUAACACUAAAUAUUCACAUAUCAUCAGUUUCAUUUAAGCAAGAUCUUGUUAGUAUAUUAUAUGGGAGAAACUUGAGGUGGCAAAAGAUGAAUAUAAUUAAGAUAUUAUGGCAAGCUACAGAAAGGAAAGCAUGACUCUGAUGGCUAGGUGGCUUUUGUGAAAGGGUCUCAUGUAACAAGGCUGGUCUCACACUUGACUUUGAACUUCUGAUCUCUCUGCUUUGACCUCCCCCCGCUGGGAUUAUAGGUGUGUUCUAUCAUGUCCAGUUUUAUACAGUGCUGUCUGCCAGGCAAGCAAGCAUUCUUCCUAGUCAGCCACAAUCCCAGACCUUAGAUAAUGAGACUUCAUGCAUCGAUGUUUUGUGGCAUUCUGUUUCAAAUGUCACUUAAGGUUUUUUCCACCCAAGCAACAAUUUUUCUGAAUUAGCCUGCAUAUUUUUCAUAUUUUCUAAUAUAGUAGUGUUGUAUUCAACUGUACCAAUAAGCCCCCAAAAGUAGUUCUUAAAAUAAAUCGUCCAGACUCUUUUAAAUCUUGGAAGAUGUUAAAUUUCACAUCUCAAACAUUAUUUGAAGAAUUAAACUUCAGAGAGAGAUUUUAAAAGCUUGUUUAGCUUAGUUUAGAACUUCCUGUGUGCUUGUCUAUAAUUUUCAGAGAAACAUAAACAGCAGAGUGGUUAUGAGCAUGGAAGUUUAAGGUUAGACCUAAUCUUGAAUCCUAACUUGGAAAUUUCCUAGCUCUGUGAUCUUGGAGAAAUUACAUAAUCUUUCUAUUGAUGCUUCUCAAAGUAUAAAUUAAGUAAUUAAGGGUAAUACUGGCACUUUUUAGGGGGCAGGGUCAGUUUGUGAAUCGAGUUAGCUUCUGCUUAGAAAUAGGCAUUGCCAAGAAGUUAAGAGCAGUCAGUUCUCAGUAAGUGUCUCUGUUAUCUUUGAUGUUAUGCGAUGUUUUUAAGAAUUAACCAUGGGUGUCAGUAGAUCUGUUGAUUGGAACUUGUACCAUUUCUGUUAAAGUUGAUCACAUCUAGACCUUCCAUUGACCUAUAGCCAGUGGCUAGUUUUAGCAUAGAUUCUAUCAUACUUUUUUUUUUUUUUUUAAGAUUUGUUUUGUUGUGGUUUGGUUUUGAGACAGGGUUUCUCUGUGUAGCCCUGGCUGUCCUGGAACUCACUCUGUAGACCAGGCUGGCCUCGAACUCAGAAAGCUGCCGGCCUCUGCCUCCCAAGUGCUGGGAUUUAAAGGCAAGCACCACCACUGCCCGGCUUUUUAAAAGAUUUUAUUUACUUAUAUGAGUACUGUAGCCAUCUUCAGACACAUCAGAAGAGGCCAUCGGAUCCCAUUACAGAUGAUUGUGAGCCACCAUGAAGUUGCUGAGAGUUGAACUCAGGACCUCUAGAAGGGCCAUCUCUCCAGCCCCUCUAUCAUAGUUCUUAAUAGUCUGAAUUAUAUUUGAGGUUUGAAUUUUUGUGUGUGUUUUAUUUAUGGAUAGCAAUGCCUCACUAGAGAAAUAGGGGCUCUCUCCAUGAGGAGAGAGAUACAUUCAAGCAUGGAAAUGAGAGGAAGCACACAUGGCAAAACUUUGUCCACACAGAUUCAAGACCUAGCUGAAGUAGCUCAGCGUUGGAUGGCAUAGAAUUCUGAGCUCAAUGUAACACAAAUGUUGUAUUCCAUCCCUCUCUCAGCCAGGUUCUGAGGUGGUGAUCCAAGGAAGCAAGAAGGAAUAUGAUUAUAGACCAGGGGCCCUGGUUAGUGUUCAUUUUCUACAGAACUAUAAAUAAUAUUGCAGAAGGCCAGCGUGGUUCGUUAUAAAUAGGCCCUCGUCAGAACUGCUGACCCUGGGAUGGUGACUAUUUUCAUUCUAAGCUCUCUAACCAACCCUGAAGUCACCUCCGCUGCUUUUUUCUUUUGAGUAAAGAAAGCUCUGCAGCCUUAACUCUGCUCUUGCGUGCAGUCUGUCCUGAAAUACAUUUCUCUCACAAGGGAAGCUGUGAUCACAGAUGUGACUGGAAUGAGAAGAGCAACCAGCCAUGUACCCUAGUACUCAGCAGACCUGGUUGGGAGCUGCAUCUUCCCGCUCUGGGACUGUUAGUCUGCUGGCUACAGAGUUCCUAUUCCUGGCUAAGCUGUGGAUUGAAGCUCCCAGCAGGUGUAAGGACACACACUACAGAUGUAUUCUGGAAAGCUUUUCAAAUCUUUCCACCUGGCCCUGCUCAGUGUUAGGCUGUUGGGUAGGCCAGAAAGCCAAGGAAGUGCCUUCUCCUGCUGAUAUUUGGAAUAUUAUAUCUUCCACAUUUAGGCUAGCACUACCUAAUAUUUACUAAUAUUUUUUAACUAAGGAAAAUGAAGGACGUUAUUUAAAGUUGGCUUUUCAAAACCCCCAGAAGGGCAGUGUUCCUUUAAAACUCAGAACAAAAGCAAUUUUUCCAUGUUAGCGGUGAGCAUCGACAGUACACUGAUUUGUAUCUGGGUUUUCUUUUUCCACAAGUCUGUGCCUAGUUUCCACCUUGCCUGGUUUCCCAAAAUCUCCACUUUUCUUCCACUUAUUUCUGUUAGCUCAAGGGUUUUGAAUUUCUGUUCCUACUUUUCUCCUGUUGUCAGUUUUAAACGUAUUUUGUUUCUGUUUUCCUUUUUAUAUGUAUUCCUUUAUGUCGCUAUUCUGUUUCCUACUUAAGCUUCCCUCCUUGGUGAUUCUCCUUGAUGAUCAUAGCCUUUCUCUGGGACAUCUCCAUCCUGAGAUGCCUGCUCUGCUCCACAAACAGGGCUCUGGCCCUUCUCGCUGUGGAUCAGUUUUUAGACUGCUCUCGUCUCAGGACUCAUUGAGUUUCUCCAUCCACCCUGUCUUCUUUCAUUUCACUUGUGAUAUCAGCUACCUACUUCAUUUUGGAAAAAGAUUUGCACCAUUUUGCUGUGGGUUAUUUCCAUGCAUGCUGGUACAUAAAUCCUAACCGUUUUUUGGUUUUUGGUUUUUGGGUUUUUUGUUUGUUUGUUUGUUUGGUUUUCGAGACAGGGUUUCUCUGUAUAGCCCUGGCUGUCCUGGAACUCACUCUGUAGACCAGGCUGGCCUCGAACCUGCCUCUGCCUCCCGAGUGCUAGGAUUAAAGACGUGCGCCACCACGCCCAGCAAAUCCUACCCUUUCUUAAUUGCUCAAUAAAUUGCUUGUAAUCAGUAAUGAAGAAAAGUCUAAAAUUAAAGUAUUUAAGUUUGUGACCUAAAAAUAACAUUCUGAUAGUUUAAAACAGAAAGAAAAAACCAAGUAGUGUUUGGAAUAUGUUUAAACGUACCUAAAAGGUAUGAAAGGUCAAAAUAUUAAUCAAAUAGCCAGUUAUCUUUUAAACAGCAGGUAAAGUACAUGUGCCUUAGGAUUGCUAUUGCUAUGAAGAACAGCAUGACCAUGGCAACUCUUAGAAAAGAAAACAUUUCAUUGGGGCUGGUUUACAUUUCAGAGGUUUAGUCCAUUAUCAUCAUAGAGGUAAGCAUGAGGUUGUACAGGGAGACAUUGUACUGAAGAAGGAGCUGAGAUUCUACAUUUAGAUCUGCAGAGAGGAAAGAACUGUGUAUCACUUGCCCUGGUUUGAAUUUCUCAAAGCCCACCCCUAGUGAAGUACUCCCUCUGAAAAAGCCACACCUAUUCCAACAAGGCCACACCUAUUACCGCCUCUCCCUCUAGGGGCCAUUUCCUGCUAACUUCCACAGUGUGUGACUUUUUGUACUGUGCUGUCUUAACAAACUGAGAGUAAGUACCAAGGUUGGUGUACCAAGAUUAACAAACUGAGAGUAAGUACCAAGGUUGGUGUACCAAGGUUAACAAACUGAGAGUAAGUACCAAGGUUGGUGUACCAAAGUUAACAAACUGAGAGUAAGUACCAAGGUUGGUGUACCAAGGUUAACAAACUGAGAGUAAGUACCAAGGUUGGGGAACAGUUUUCACAUCUCCAGAAUCUAUGUGCUCUUUGUUUUUCAUCGGCAGGAAAGUUUCUCCAGUAGCAUUAGGCUUCCGGUUUGUCAAGACUAUGAGCUGGGAACCUGACUCUGGAGUAGGGACUUAUUUUAUACCCUUCCAAUAGCUUCUGCCCCAUUACCUAUCUGUAAGGUGGAAUAGAGAAACCAGCUUACCUUUGUGUCUCAAAUGUCCGGCACUCCAGAGGGAGUUCUGAGCGUCCCUUCAGUAUUGUGAGACACAGCACUGAUAACACAAAAGUCAGUAGAGGUGCUGACAUAACCUCCAUGUGUCUAAAUGCUGACAUGUGGCAACAGACCUAACUGUGCUUGGAAUCUUUAUAUAAAAGACAAACUGCAAACUAGUACAGAGAUAGGUAAGUGCCAUCUCUGGAUAAGAAAGCACAUUAUUUCAAAAUUAUCCUGUAAAGUUAAUAUGUUCCAAUAUAAAUGCCAUAGAAAGAGAAGGAAACAUGCAAACAAAACUUGCCAGCAUCGUUCCUGAUAAAAGAUAAACGGGUGCUAGAGGUGUGGUUGUAGAAGAGUACCUAGUGUGUGCUGAACCAUGGGUUCUAGCCUCAGCAGGCCAAAGAGAAUAAAAGAACAUAAAAGAGCACAGCUCCACACCUGAGGUGCGGCUUAUCCAUAGUGAUAGGAAAAGCAGGAAACUUGGCAGGGUAGGGGAGCAGUAGCUGUCCAUAGGAGAAACCUAAAGAGUACAACCUCAACCUGAUGGUCACGGGUAACGUUAGCUGUCAUUGAGCCAUGUUAGUGUGUCACCACAUGUGAUGACAAUCCUUCAGAACCUUUAAACCGCAUCUUAUGGUAAGAAAAACAUCAUGUUGUAGUGGCACGACACACAGCAAAGACCUAACUGGCACUCCUCAAAAUUCACCAGGGAUCAAAACAAGGACUUAUGGGCAUCCUGACCUGGAGAGACAGUGGAAUGGGUAAAUCACUUGCUACAUGAGAGUGAGAACCUGAGUUCAAAUCCCCAGAAACCAUGAAGGAAAAAAAAAAA